This 241-nucleotide ribosomal RNA is filed under the name uncultured bacterium. RNAcentral's name for it is "partial 16S ribosomal RNA". It matches the Rfam family "Bacterial small subunit ribosomal RNA", at positions 524 to 765 of the family's 1533-position model. The record is from RNAcentral.
UACGUAGGGGGCAAGCGUUGUCCGGAAUCAUUGGGCGUAAAGAGCGCGUAGGCGGCCCUGUAAGUCCGCUGUGAAAGUCAAGGGCUCAACCCUUGGAUGCCGGUGGAUACUGCAGGGCUAGAGUUCGGAAGAGGCGAGUGGAAUUCCUGGUGUAGCGGUGAAAUGCGCAGAUAUCAGGAGGAACACCGAUGGCGAAGGCAGCUCGCUGGGACGAUACUGACGCUGAGCGCGAAAGCGUGGG